CCAAGAGAGAAAAUCGGUGAGGCAUUGGAGCAAGAGAGCUUUACGCGUUACCCCGUUUGUGUUUAAUUAUUCACCAUUGAUUUCAAUAUCAUUAUCAUUUUCUCUGGGUAUAUUUUACUUUUCACUUUUUAAUCCAACUCUAGUUAAGAUAUUCCCAUUUUCUUUUUUAUUUUCUUUUAAAGAUAUUUCUCGCAUCCCACCCCAACCCCACCACCGCAGUCCCUACCUUUAACUUGUUAAAUAUAUUUAUAUUAUUUUUAGGAAGACAAAAUGAAGUUUUAAUUUCUUGCCUUGAACUAGUAUAGACUAGAGACAUAUGACACAUCCUUGUUUUGAAGAAGACCGUCCAGGAUGAACAACAUGUUGAUUAUGUGCUCCUCCUUGGGUUGAGGGGUGGAUUUACAUAUGCAUAUUUCCAACAGUUUUUUUUCCCCUCAGAAAGAGAAGAGGGAUCAAAAGUCCCUUUGAAAAUUCUCCAUUGCGUCGUUGGAAUUCAAUGAAAGCUUCUGGGUUCAAUCAAAUUAUGAGAUAGUAAUGAAUUUCCAGCAGCUGCUUGCUGGGUUAGCUCAAGUCCGUCCCUCUCUUUCUCUCACACCACCACCACUUCAUUCGGUUCUUAAACAAUCCUUGCCAUAUUCUUUUGGCAUCGUUCAAAGUAAACAUGUGGAUGCAAUUAAAAGGAAUUAGAAAUUUUAUUAUUUGAAUAUGUUAUUCUUAGCAUUGUAUGUAGGUAAAAGAAUCUUUUUGUCCAGAAAGUUUUGUGCUUUGAUCAAAAGUGCUUUUGCUUUAAUACAAGAAGAAGAUAUCUUGUUGUCACAGUCGUCUCAGUUUGUAUUUUUCUUAAGCAUAAAGGCUUCAACUUUUCAAUUGGAAUUUGGAUGUGUAUAUGCUUUUCUUGUGACAAGAGGGAAACAUUGUCCUUCUCGUCCCUACGAGGCUAUGAGGCUAUGAGGCUAUGACUAAGAAAAAAGAAAAGUGGUUGAUGUCGUGUGUUUAGUGUAGGCCAUGGUAAAAUGGUGGAUGUUCAGUUGAAGGGAAGUGCUUGUAGGAUUAAGAAGUGUGCCUUGGAGUUGCUGUCGAUUGGGAGCGAUCUGAUGAACGAGGGUCAGUCGUCGUGGGAGUUGUUGGGAAGGGAUCUGCGCCUGAAAUCCACAUUCUUGUAUUGUGAUCUUAAUCAGAUGAUCUCUUGUGCACCAAGGGAACAGAAGAGGGCCCUCACAGAACUUGCCAACAAAUUGUUUUGCUCCAUUGAAGAGUUGGAUCAUGCAAUGAAAAUUCGUAGCGUUCCUUUGACCCAAGAUCGAUACAAUCAGGCUGCUGUCGUCUUACAGGAGGUGAUGGCUCUCGCGCCUUAAACACGACACGUCGUCGCCUUAAAUUGGUGUCCACUAGUACAGUACAACAAUUUCAUCUGUAAAUAAAAGUUUUAUCCUCAAGGUAUAUUUUUUGUUUUGGUGGUGGUUGUUUUUGUUACACUAUAUAUAUAGGACAUGUUUGUGUCGGGU
This is an RNA transcript of Prunus persica (peach), 1505 nucleotides long. It is a transcript of the gene named photosynthetic NDH subunit of lumenal location 3, chloroplastic, with no coding region annotated. NCBI's taxonomy places the organism in Eukaryota, Viridiplantae, Streptophyta, Magnoliopsida, Rosales, Rosaceae. The record is from RefSeq and is a predicted model, not a curated record. The transcript has 3 exons.